UGAGUAACCUGCCCUUAACUCUGGGAUAAGCCUGGGGAACUGGGUCUAAUACCGGAUAUGACUCCUCAUCGCAUGGUGGGGGGUGGAAAGCUUUAUUGUGGUUUUGGAUGGACUCGCGGCCUAUCAGCUUGUUGGUGAGGUAAUGGCUCACCAAGGCGACGACGGGUAGCCGGCCUGAGAGGGUGACCCGGCCACACUGGGACUGAGACACGGCCCAGACUCCGUACGGGGAGCAG
This 236-nucleotide ribosomal RNA is filed under the name uncultured bacterium. RNAcentral's name for it is "partial 16S ribosomal RNA". It matches the Rfam family "Bacterial small subunit ribosomal RNA", at positions 118 to 347 of the family's 1533-position model. The record is from RNAcentral.